RNAcentral lists this transfer RNA (73 nucleotides) under Acinetobacter phage vB_AbaM_Acibel004. It matches the Rfam family "tRNA". From Rfam's summary of the family: Transfer RNA (tRNA) molecules are approximately 80 nucleotides in length. Their secondary structure includes four short double-helical elements and three loops (D, anti-codon, and T loops). Lineage: Duplodnaviria; Heunggongvirae; Uroviricota; Caudoviricetes; Luriaviridae. The record is from Rfam by way of RNAcentral.
ACGUCAUUGGUCGAGCGGAUUAGGCAUCACACUUCUAAUGUGACUUACAGGGGUUCGAAUCCUCUAUGGCGUA